Megalobrama amblycephala (Wuchang bream) is the source of this 3011-nucleotide RNA transcript. RefSeq lists it as uncharacterized. The transcript is spliced from 3 exons. The record is from RefSeq and is a predicted model, not a curated record. Lineage: Eukaryota; Metazoa; Chordata; Actinopteri; Cypriniformes; Xenocyprididae.
UCACUUCUGCAGGGUAGGAUGAUUCAUUUUAUGUGUUCAUAUAGCUGAUUAUUAUUGCUUGCAUUACAAAUCCAGAUUAGGAGCGUCUAUAUAGCGUCUUUGACCUCACACGAGACACUGAAGCUGCUACAUUCAGGAACUGCUGGAUACAACAAUCUUUUUGAAAUGCAGAAUUAUCAGAGACACGGUGAGAGCAUUCCCUGUUGAGAGACCUUAUUUUUUCAUUUAUUUAUUUAAAAAACGUCAGUGAUGAAUUAGAAUCAACUUAGAUCUAAUAGCACAGCUGAUCAGGACUUCUUUGUUUUUACUUAAAAUUCUGUUCAAACUCACUGAUUAACCGUUCAUUUCACUCAACUCACAACAAUAUUCUUAAAGGUUCUUUUAUAUUUCUGUGUAAGUGAUUAAUUACUGCAGAUGUGUUUGGAUCAUAGUUUAGGACACAAACUUUAUUCUGCUGAUUUUGAGAGAAAGUCUGCUGAAUGGCUUUAUAUUUGUUAGUCGUGAGCUGAGAGUACUACACUCUUGUUGGUAGCUGAAAACUCCCAUCAAAGUAGCCAUAUUGAAUAAUUAUGCAGAGUUCAUGAGGAAAUGAGCUGAUUUAUUUAAAGUUCGGCUGGUUUUAGUUCUCACUAUAUGUUCCUUCUUGGUUUUGCAUUUUUCAGUUUUUCUGUAAUUGUGUGUUUGAUAUUAAAAAUAUCCUUCUUUGCAUUAGCCUACAAGUGCACCAUUGUUAGAGUAAAACCAGUCAUGAUCUUUACUUCUUUUUUUAGCAGAAAGAAUGAUGAGAACCCUGUAUAAUUUGUCUGAUCUGAGAGAGUCCAGGUUUGGUCAGCCUCCUCCCAGACACGGUCUGAUCUUGCUGUGGUGGUUUGAUCAUGAAUGUGUUCAAAUUGACUCCAAUGUUCAUAUAAUUGCUUGCUGCAGCCCUGCAAAUGGAGCUUUUGGCAACCCUUCAAAUGGAGCCUUCAGCUGAAUCAUCCAUCCAUUUUCCAAACCGCUGGUCCAAUGUGGCUACAGCGUAAUAUCAUAUUCUACAAGUAUAAAUUGCUUUAUAAUUUAUUAUUAAAUAGUUUAAUAAGGUUUAUACAUGCAAGUUUCCAUGACUGAUUCAAGAUAAAUAUUUUAAUUACUACAGGAGCUGCCAAUUUGCUAAGUUUCAAAUGAUAUUAAACGACAAGCAAGAAAAAAAAAAGAAGCAAAACUAUGCAAAAGCGACAGCCCUUCCAAUGCACUCAGUGUCUGAAUUCACUCACCCAUUUUCAUUCACUCACUAUAUUAAAGAAGUAAUGCAGGGGAUUGUGAAUGAGGUAUAAGGAGUGAUUAUUUUCACAGUUUGUUUUUAAUUAUGAAGCUGUGUAUUGCAACUUGUCUCCAAUUGGACAAAUGGCUUAUUUGGAUGCUAAAUUAUUAUAAUCUAUGAUGUUUAUAUAAUUAUAAAUAUAUGCUUGUUCUAUAAAUUUAAGAUAUGGUGUUGUUGAGCUUUGGAUAUUUAUCACUUGAUUCUUUUAAUGAUUUAUUACAAUGAUGUAGAUAAAUAUUUCAGACAGAAGGUGAAACUUUAAUAUGAAAUCUGAAUAUGAGUGAGACAUUAUAGUUGAAUCUAAACUAGCUUUAAUGUAAAUCCCAUCAUGAACAGUCCCUAAUGUGUUUUUGCAUAAGUUUUGCUUUCUGCAUGAUGAGUUUCUGUUCAUCAAAACAGCAACACACAUACAACCUGUGGGACAACUAAUGUUUGUUACUUACUAUAGAGUAGUUUAUGCAGUGUUGUCAUGUCAUAUAAAUGAGGCAGUCAGUGCCAAAGAUCUAAUAAGGCUACAAGAUAUGGUGAAUCAGUGCACUACAGAUUAACCCUUCAUCUCACUGCAUUCAUUUUGUAAUUUUGGAGGAUCAGUUUUUCUCAGCUCAUUAAUUGUCAGGAACAGGAUGAGGACCCUGUAUGAUUUGUCUGAUCUGAAAGAGUCCAGGUUUGGUCAGCCGCCUCCCAGACACGGUCUGAUCUUGCUGUGGUGGUUUGCUCAUGAAUGUGUUCAGAUCGACUCCAAUGAUCGUAUGAUUGCUCAGUGCGACCCUGAAAAUGGAGCUUUUGGCUUCCACCGAUUCUAUAAUAGGGAAAGACUUCUUCCUUACACUGACCUCCCAUACUAUGAAGUGGGCAACCUGCACAUCACUGACUCUCUGCCACUGUAUGUCACUCAGUAUUACACAGGAUAUAUAGACAACAGCAACACUGAUCGCAUCAUUGUUUUAUUUAACUCUAUGUGGAACAGAUUUGACAGCGUUUAUGUGACACAGCACUCAGAUCUUGUGAAGUUUGACCAGAAUCACACUUACUGCAUUAGCAUCAAACUCAUGAAGGACAUUAAAGAUUUGAGCCGUGAGGAUUUCCUCAGAGAACCCAUCCUUCCACAACGACCCAAUCCUCCUGAGUAUUUGGCCAUAGACAUAAUUAACGGAGGCCAUUCGCAAACAAGACCGAACAUCACAGUCACAUGCACACCUCAGCCAGUGCAAAGCAAAACCUGUCUGAGUGAGAAAUGCUACUGUGUGCUGAUUUGUGUCUUGAUUUUACUGUUGCUCAUUAUUGCUGCUAUCGUCUUUUUAUUGUAUAAAAUGAAAUAGUUUUCAUCCACUGCUGUUUGUUUGUUGAGCGUUGCAUGUUUAUCACUGCAUUCUUUUUAAUAGUUUAUUGCAAUGAUGUAAAUAUUCAAGAUUUAGAAGGACCAAAUGUAAAACUGUAAGAAUCAAUCUUAAUAUUGAUAUUAAUCUGAAUAUUGCGUGACACACUCCAAUCAGUGUGUUCAGUGGUUACGCCUUGAUUUAUAGUAAUUUCGUUUCAUAUUUAUUGUGCUUACUCUUUGACAUAUACAAAAAGAGAAUGUAUUAAAACUCCAAAAACCAUUGACUUUAGUUUUUUUAUUCAACAAUUGUAAACUUGUCUUUUUCUUUGCCAUCAAUAUACAUGUAUGAUUAAAUAUAAAUCUUAAGAAAUCAUAAUACAUUUUAAUGUGAAU